UACGUAGGUGGCAAGCGUUAUCCGGAAUUAUUGGGUGUAAAGCGCGCGCAGGCGGUUUCUUAAGUCUGAUGUGAAAGCCCACGGCUCAACCGUGGAGGGUCAUUGGAAACUGGGGAACUUGAGUGCAGAAGAGAAAAGCGGAAUUCCACGUGUAGCGGUGAAAUGCGUAGAGAUGUGGAGGAACACCAGUGGCGAAGGCGGCUUUUUGGUCUGUAACUGACGCUGAGGCGCGAAAGCGUGGGGAGCAAACAGG
Molecule: ribosomal RNA, 253 nt
Filed under: uncultured bacterium
Lineage: Bacteria
Description: partial 16S ribosomal RNA
Rfam family: Bacterial small subunit ribosomal RNA
Source: RNAcentral